Molecule: long non-coding RNA, 141 nt
Organism: Lonchura striata (white-rumped munia)
Lineage: Eukaryota; Metazoa; Chordata; Aves; Passeriformes; Estrildidae
Source: RefSeq, a predicted model, not a curated record
AAAGAGUCAGACUCUUCACAGAGGUGGGAGGAUGACAGACUAUGGAUGGCAUGGAAACAGAGACCUUGUUGGCUGCUAACUGCAUUCAGUUCCUGGAGAUUAGCAAAAUUAUCAGGACUUCAGGAGGAAAAUUAUAUUUAC